Dama dama (fallow deer) is the source of this 652-nucleotide long non-coding RNA. RefSeq lists it as uncharacterized. The record is from RefSeq and is a predicted model, not a curated record. The transcript has 3 exons. NCBI's taxonomy places the organism in Eukaryota, Metazoa, Chordata, Mammalia, Artiodactyla, Cervidae.
GCAAUGACUCGGAGACGGCUAACGAGUCCAUCUUAACGCCCUGUUGUAGCAAAUGUUGCAUGAACCUUGUCUGUAGCUUACAGAUGAGGGAACAGACCCAGACAAGUGAAGAUGCGUGGUUAAGGUCAUCUGGUGAGAAAGUUAUCAGGGCAGGGAUCCGAGCUUAAACAAUCUCUCACUGAGGCGCAGUGUGCUAACACUGCAGCUUUCGUAGGGAGGAUCGUGGAGAGAAGGGAAGAACGUCCGUGGUGUCUUCUGGCAGAGGUCUGUGAGGCGGCGCUAGUUCUCAGAGAGCUCUCAGUACGAACAGCGAUUCCACCAGCCUGUGUUGAGCCCAGGCCUUGCAAGCUCAGCUGCCCACAGCACCCAGGCAGCUCACAGAAAUGAGGCGAGCAAGUCAGCUCUUGAAACCCAGCCAUCUUGCUGUGAGGAGGCCCCAGCAGCCCGCCAGACCUCAUGGGGAGGAACAGGUCCCCAGCUCUAGCUGAGCUCCCAGCUGACAGCCGGUGCCAAGUUGCUAGCCAGCUGGCUUCCAGUGUGUGCCUGGAAUUAUGCUAGGUGCUGGGAAGACCAGGCUGAACAACAGUGCCACUCAUCACCCUGGACGGGAGGCCACCGGUAUCUACCCAGAGCCUGCAUGCCAACCCCUCCU